GGCCAGGUAGCUCAGUCGGUAGAGCAGAGGACUGAAAAUCCUCGUGUCGGUGGUUCAAUUCCACCCCUGGCCACCA
Molecule: transfer RNA, 76 nt
Filed under: Gammaproteobacteria bacterium
Lineage: Bacteria; Pseudomonadati; Pseudomonadota; Gammaproteobacteria
Also listed under: 3 other names
Description: tRNA-Phe
Rfam family: tRNA
About the family: Transfer RNA (tRNA) molecules are approximately 80 nucleotides in length. Their secondary structure includes four short double-helical elements and three loops (D, anti-codon, and T loops). Further hydrogen bonds mediate the characteristic L-shaped molecular structure. tRNAs have two regions of fundamental functional importance: the anti-codon, which is responsible for specific mRNA codon recognition, and the 3' end, to which the tRNAs corresponding amino acid is attached (by aminoacyl-tRNA synthetases). tRNAs cope with the degeneracy of the genetic code in two manners: having more than one tRNA (with a specific anti-codon) for a particular amino acid; and 'wobble' base-pairing, i.e. permitting non-standard base-pairing at the 3rd anti-codon position.
Source: RNAcentral